RNAcentral lists this ribosomal RNA (382 nucleotides) under uncultured eukaryote. Its description in RNAcentral is "partial 18S ribosomal RNA". It matches the Rfam family "Eukaryotic small subunit ribosomal RNA", at positions 592 to 976 of the family's 1831-position model. The record is from RNAcentral.
CAAUAGCGUAUAUUAAAGUUGUUGCAGUUAAAAAGCUCGUAGUUGGAUUUCUGGUGAGAUGGAUUAUGUCUAGGUCGAAAGAUCUUGUUCAUGGUUCGUUUUGCCCUUCUUGUCAGGAACCCGCUGAGAUUCGCGUCUUGUCGGUGGAAUGGCAUCGUUUACUGUGAAAAAAUUAGAGUGUUCAAAGCAGGCAUCGCCGUUGAAUACAUUAGCAUGGAAUAAUAAGAUAAGACUUUGGUGGUCUAUUUUGUUGGUUUGCACGCCAAAGUAAUGAUUAAUAGGGAUAGUUGGGGUUAUUCGUAUUCUAUUGCUAGAGGUGAAAUUCUUAAAUUUAUGGAAGACGAACUACUGCGAAAGCAUUUACCAAGGAUGUUUUCAUUAA